RNAcentral lists this ribosomal RNA (174 nucleotides) under Shouchella clausii. RNAcentral's name for it is "Bacillus clausii partial 23S ribosomal RNA". It matches the Rfam family "Bacterial large subunit ribosomal RNA", at positions 1 to 172 of the family's 2925-position model. The record is from RNAcentral. Lineage: Bacteria; Bacillati; Bacillota; Bacilli; Caryophanales; Bacillaceae.
AAGGAUAAGUUAGAAAGGGCGCACGGUGAAUGCCUUGGCACUAGGAGCCGAUGAAGGACGCGACGAACCGCGAUAGGCUUCGGGGAGCUGUAAGUAAGCUUCGAUCCGGAGAUUUCCGAAUGGGGGAACCCACCAUCCGUAAUGGGAUGGUACUGGCAUAUGAACACAUAGGAU